GCCUGUUCUGUUUCUUUACAAUAUAACUCUUUGAAGACCAGUUUGAAUUUCUGAGGUCCUGGGGCUGUGAGCAUGUGGACAGCAACUUGCUGGUUUCUAUUUUUAAAAUCAAUAUUAUCCCAAUUUAUGAAUGUUUAAAAAAAUAAAUUUCUAAGUGUGACCUGAAUUACUUCCUUGGAAGAAUCUGCAUUCUUGUAAAAUCCUGCAGUGAGUCACCAAAGUGCCUUGGAAAAUAUUAUGGUCUUCUGAAAAGCUGUUUGGUAGCUGCAGGAAAGUAAGAGGGCUUCUUCCAUCCACCUCUGAUGAGGUAUGUUGUCACCAUGUCAAUUCUAUGGUUGUUAUACUACGUCUAUGUCCUAGGGACUCUGCAGGGCUUGUCAUAACUCCAGACUUACUCUGGAAAGCAAAGUACAAAUUUCAUUCUUUUUAGGACUGCAAAUAUCUGAGGAUUCCAUUUUCCAUCCUGUCUGAAAACUAGACCCUGGAGAAGAGAGCAAGUUAGAGGUCCCUUAUCAAGGCUCUAACAGUAUCUGAGUUUUAUUCUUCCCUUCAAACAGUCCCUUCUCUUUCAACAUGGGAACAUUUACCUCUUUUUUUGGGGUUAGUUCAGCUUUCUAUCUACUCUAUUUUCAAUCUUUUUUUUUUUCUUUCAGGUCUUAGCCUUUUGAAACUAAAAAAAAAAAAAAAAAAAAAAAAAAGAAAAAAACCUAGAUUCUUAUAAUCAAAGCUUUCCCUCUCAAAGCUGUCUUUCCUGAAUUUCAAAGAUUAUUUCUGAAUCCAAAAUCAAAUAACUUGACUUCUUACUUUUCUCUGGCUUUCUGUGAGGCUUCUUUCUUUCUCUUUGGCAAUGCACACUGCUGAGUCACUGGAGUUGUCUGUGAUAACCAUGAUCACUGUGUUGCACUUGUGUGAUUCAGAAAAAGGCCCCAUUUCUGGAUGGAAGCAAUAGAAACCACACAUUAUCUGGGUGGAUUUGUCCUCUGGAUACAAUGCUUGGCAGUGGCAUAGUGCCCUUUAGCUGAAAAAAAAGCUUCCAUUUCUUUCAGUCAAUGCAGCUCCAUGACAGGAUUCAUGGCUUGGUUAAGUAUAAACCAAAUUUUGGUUCUCCAGAGCCCUGAGAUGGAUGUCCUUGUGUAGGGUCC
This 1142-nucleotide long non-coding RNA is filed under the name Vulpes vulpes (red fox). Its description in RNAcentral is "lncRNA (ENSVVUG00000022577.1)". The record is from RNAcentral. Lineage: Eukaryota; Metazoa; Chordata; Mammalia; Carnivora; Canidae.